AUCCAUAUAAAUGGAGAAGAACAAUCUAAAAUGUGAUAUUACAUUGUACAUAGAGAAGAAGAGCAAUGUAAUGUGCAAUUUUAUCUAAAAGAAGAUUCAAAGCUCUGUACCUUUGUCCAGGAGUCUUUAAUUGAAUAGGGGCCAAUUGGACCAGGCUAGCAAACUGAAUUGGACCAUUGCAAGCUUCUUGGGCCAAGAGCUAUGGCCACACAUGAACGUUUAAAUGUUAAACAAACACAAAUACUUUUCGUGGGAACAUCAAGAAUUUAAAGGUGCUAGCUGUAAUUGUUAGUACACAAGAAAUCAGCAGAGUAUGUAGCAUUAGGACUUUCACCUGCCUGACUGAGACUGCAUGCAAGCCAGGUCAAUUUUCCACUGAAACUCCACACUAGUAUAUUAUAAAAGAUAAAAUAUGGAAAGUUGUAUUAAUGCUACACCAACUGUUCUUCAUACUGAAUUAGCAUCUGCACUACAAAUAGUAAUAACUGAAGUAUGACAGACUAUGAUUUGAUUGGGGUUUCUUUUUUCUAUUAUUAUUAUUAUUCGUUAGGAAAGGGGAGGGGAGGGGAGGAGAGGGCGUAUUCAAGAGCUUUGUAGACUAAAAGAACUACUUUUAAGUUCAAGAAAAAAAAUUCAAUAAUACAAUACAACACUGCUGGCUUUAGACGCUCAGAUUACCCCUCCCCC
Molecule: long non-coding RNA, 687 nt
Organism: Cucumis sativus (cucumber)
Lineage: Eukaryota; Viridiplantae; Streptophyta; Magnoliopsida; Cucurbitales; Cucurbitaceae
Exons: 2
Source: RefSeq, a predicted model, not a curated record